ACAAAAAGAAAAGAGAAAAGAAGGAGAUGUGCAGCCUCACCUAUUCCAAGGGUCCUAAUAGGACCAAGUUGUCAUAUAAGCUUCUGUUCCGGGCCUGACAGUGAAUACAUGCCAUAGCCAUGUCCUUUAUGCAACAUAUUUGCAAAAGAUUUUUACAUGGAAGCCACUACUCCAGUAUCCCAAUCAGCAUCUAACUCAGAUACAGUCUUCUAUAAGUUAAAACAUGGCCUAUGAAGCGAUUUUUUAAAAGAUUUGUAGUCAAGAAGAGACACAUUCUUUGGGGGAGGAUGAGGCAACUGGAGUCGCCAAUGACCUUAGAGAGCUGGAACUUGAGACACACAGAGGGAAUGUGUGAAUUCUAGGAUCACCAAUGGAAUCAAUAAGCUUUUACCUGUAGGGGAUAAAUCCUGGAAGAAUUCUAGAGUUUGAAACUGUCUGGACCAUUUGAAGCAGCAUCUCAGAGGCAUCAGAGCUGAUGAAUACUCAGUCAGAAGAAAUGCAGGCCUGCAGGUUUGUCCACAAAGUGUUCCCAUCAACCGUGACGGCUCUCUCAAAUGUUACUGUCUAUAUGAAUCCACCUUGGGAUAUUAGUAAAAUGAGUUUCUGAUACAGAAGAUCUAGAAAGCGCCUGAAAUGCUGAUAUUCUGUCUCCCAGGUGGAGGAGUUCAGCUAUUACCUUGACUUUGCCGAAGUCCUAGGCACUCCCAUGCCCUCAGAGUCUCAUUUUGAAUCCAGGCACUUAGGGAUGCUAUUUUUCCACAUCAAACAGCUUCCUCCCAGCCAAAGAAUUCUGGUGACAGUAGUGAAGAUAAUUUUCACUCCUGCUUACAGAAUGACAAAGCAAAAGCAAAGAGGAGAAGAAUGAAGUAAAGACAACCAAAGGAAAAGACUGAUGGCUCCUUAAGAAUGAUCUUGAUAAAGGAAUGGUGGCUGAGGGGUCCAUCUCCUAAACCACCCACCUUACUGACUCCCUAGAGCAAUGCCAUACAGAAAGCUGCACCUUGAGGGGAAGACACAAGAAUCCUGGAGUGGAAAAAAAUUGGGUAAUGAUGACAGCCUUCGAGGUCUUGAGAGUAAAGCAGAAGCAAAAAAAAAGUGUUAUUUUUAUCUUUUGAAGAUGGUUCCCUCUUAAGACUUUUGCGAAUGAUUAAGAUUUCAAUUAUGUUCCAGGAAAAAAAUAAGAUUUUUGCUUGACAAAAAAAAUUUUUGUCUAGAACAGGUGGGAAGGAAGAGAUAGUUUAGCCACAUCCAAGAGACCUGUAAAUUGGGUACAGUGAAGUGAAUGGUGUACCAGUCAUAAAAGAAUGUUAACUGGAGAAGUCUCUGCUGUCUUCCUGUAACUGAGGGGGGUGUAACCAUCCUUGUGGAAGCGUCCACUUUUAUUGAAGAUUGGCUAAAUAAAUCUGUGCCUACUGAAACUCAA
This is a long non-coding RNA of Homo sapiens (human), 1423 nucleotides long. Ensembl annotates it as long intergenic non-protein coding RNA 2180. The record is from Ensembl. Lineage: Eukaryota; Metazoa; Chordata; Mammalia; Primates; Hominidae.